AUGGAAAGCUUGCUGCAUUGGGACUUUGCUCCGGGCCUAGCCCUUGCAGAUCAGGUGAGAAGAAAGUUUGGGUCUACAGUCCAUUUCUCCCCUUCUAGAGACACCAAAGAGUUCUUCUUGGUUGUUUCUUUCUCCUCGGCUUCGUUUCCUCUCUCGGUGAAAGUUGUGGGUAUUGCUUUGCAAUGCUGUCUUGGU
This 195-nucleotide ribosomal RNA is filed under the name Triticum aestivum (bread wheat). RNAcentral's name for it is "partial small subunit ribosomal RNA". Lineage: Eukaryota; Viridiplantae; Streptophyta; Magnoliopsida; Poales; Poaceae. The record is from RNAcentral.